GGGGAUGCCCGGUUUCGACAGGGUUGGAUGCCAGGCCAUUGCACGUCGAGGUGCCCGAGGCCUCGUUAAAACGGGCAAACUUGUAGCUGCGAACAAACCACAGCUCGCCUACGCUGCCUAAGUCGCAAGACCUCUAGGCAACGCGUCCAGCCGGAUCUCGCUUCGUCGGAUCGGAAUCUGGGCGUCACCAAGAUGAAGUGCGGCGAUCAAGUCCGUUGGAGCGCGGUCGCUUAAGACAGUCCAACUCACCAAUGAUCAAUCCUGUCGGUGGGAGUGAUCAACGGCAGAUAAAACGCCGACUAAACGUGUAGCAUAUGUCCGGUUGAAGGUUCUGGACGGGGGUUCGAUUCCCCCCAUCUCCACCU
This 365-nucleotide transfer-messenger RNA is filed under the name Chloroflexota bacterium. It matches the Rfam family "transfer-messenger RNA". From Rfam's summary of the family: Bacterial tmRNA, also known as 10Sa RNA or SsrA, is named for its dual tRNA and mRNA-like properties. Its role is to liberate the mRNA from a stalled ribosome. Lineage: Bacteria; Bacillati; Chloroflexota. The record is from RNAcentral.